GACGAACGCUGGCGGCGUGCUUAACACAUGCAAGUCGAACGGAAAGGCCCUGCUUUUGUGGGGUGCUCGAGUGGCGAACGGGUGAGUAACACGUGAGUAACCUGCCCCUGACUUUGGGAUAACUUCAGGAAACUGGGGCUAAUACCGGAUAGGAUCUCUUGCUCCAUGGUGGGGGUUGGAAAGUUUCGGCGGUUGGGGAUGGACUCGCGGCUUAUCAGCUUGUUUGUGAGGUAGUGGCUUACCAAGGUUUUGACGGGUAGCCGGCCUGGGAGGGUGACCGGCGACAUUGGGACUGAGAUACGGACCAGACUGCUACGGGAGGCAGCAGUGGAGAAUAUUGCACAAUAGGCGGAAGCCUGAUGCAGCAACGCCGCGUGCGGAAUGACGGCCUUCGGGUUGUAAACCGCUUUCGCCUGUGACGAAGCGUGAGUGACGGUAAUGGGUAAAGAAGCACCGGCUAACUACAUG
This 468-nucleotide ribosomal RNA is filed under the name uncultured bacterium. Its description in RNAcentral is "partial 16S ribosomal RNA". It matches the Rfam family "Bacterial small subunit ribosomal RNA", at positions 28 to 507 of the family's 1533-position model. The record is from RNAcentral.